RNAcentral lists this non-coding RNA (157 nucleotides) under bovine gut metagenome. The record is from RNAcentral.
GGAGAAUCUUAAAUUUUCUUAAUGUUCUGUAAGGAGAUGAGCAAUGCAGUAACAGGACGUUACUGCAAGUAAAAGCCGGGGCAUGGACGCCACGUCUUUUACGGUUGCGGUCGUAGAAUGAUUUAUGACAGAACAUUUAGAAAAUGUUAGAUUCGUA